This 509-nucleotide ribosomal RNA is filed under the name uncultured bacterium. Its description in RNAcentral is "bacterial SSU rRNA". It matches the Rfam family "Bacterial small subunit ribosomal RNA", at positions 9 to 513 of the family's 1533-position model. The record is from RNAcentral.
GAGUUUGAUCGUGGCUCAGAUUGAACGCUGGCGGCAGGCCUAACACAUGCAAGUCGAGCGGUAGAGAGAAGCUUGCUUCUCUUGAGAGCGGCGGACGGGUGAGUAAUGCCUAGGAAUCUGCCUGGUAGUGGGGGAUAACGCUCGGAAACGGACGCUAAUACCGCAUACGUCCUACGGGAGAAAGCAGGGGACCUUCGGGCCUUGCGCUAUCAGAUGAGCCUAGGUCGGAUUAGCUAGUUGGUGAGGUAAUGGCUCACCAAGGCGACGAUCCGUAACUGGUCUGAGAGGAUGAUCAGUCACACUGGAACUGAGGCACGGUCCAGACUCCUACGGGAGGCAGCAGUGGGGAAGAUUGGACAAUGGGCGAAAGCCUGAUCCAGCCAUGCCGCGUGUGUGAAGAAGGUCUUCGGAUUGUAAAGCACUUUAAGUUGGGAGGAAGGGCAGUAAAUUAAUACUUUGCUGUUUUGACGUUACCGACAGAAUAAGCACCGGCUAACUCUGUGCCAGCA